GACGAACGCUGGCGGCGUGCUUAACACAUGCAAGUCGAACGGAAAGGCCCUGCUUUUGUGGGGUGCUCGAGUGGCGAACGGGUGAGUAACACGUGAGUAACCUGCCCUUGACUUUGGGAUAACUUCAGGAAACUGGGGCUAAUACCGGAUAGGAGCUCCUGCUGCAUGGUGGGGUUGGAAAGUUUCGGCGGUUGGGGAUGGACUCGCGGCUUAUCAGCUUGUUGGUGUGGUAGUGGCUUACCAAGGCUUUGACGGGUAGCCGUCCUGAGAGGGUGACCGGCCACAUUGGGACUGAGAUACGGCCCAGACUCCUACGGGAGGCAGCAGUGGGGAAUAUUGCACAAUGGGCGGAAGCCUGAUGCAGCAACGCCGCGUGCGGGAUGACGGCCUUCGGGCUGUAAACCGCUUUCGCCUGUGACGAAGCGUGAGUGACGGUAAUGGGUAAAGAAGCACCGGCUAACUACGUG
This 467-nucleotide ribosomal RNA is filed under the name uncultured bacterium. RNAcentral describes it as "partial 16S ribosomal RNA". It matches the Rfam family "Bacterial small subunit ribosomal RNA", at positions 28 to 507 of the family's 1533-position model. The record is from RNAcentral.